This is a non-coding RNA of Echinostoma caproni, 82 nucleotides long. The record is from Rfam. NCBI's taxonomy places the organism in Eukaryota, Metazoa, Platyhelminthes, Trematoda, Plagiorchiida, Echinostomatidae.
GGCUUCGUAGCUCAGCUGGUAGAGCAUGCGCGUUCCAAGCGUAGGUGACGUCCAUGCGUGGGUUCGAAUCCCACCGAGGCUG